This 460-nucleotide ribosomal RNA is filed under the name uncultured bacterium. RNAcentral describes it as "partial 16S ribosomal RNA". It matches the Rfam family "Bacterial small subunit ribosomal RNA", at positions 338 to 795 of the family's 1533-position model. The record is from RNAcentral.
CCUACGGGGAGCAGCAGUGAGGAAUAUUGGUCAAUGGACGAGAGUCUGAACCAGCCAAGUAGCGUGAAGGAUGACUGCCCUAUGGGUUGUAAACUUCUUUUAUAAAGGAAUAAAACGAGGCACGUGUGCCUUUUUGCAUGUACUUUAUGAAUAAGGCUCGGCUAACUCCGUGCCAGCAGCCGCGGUAAUACGGAGGAUCCGAGCGUUAUCCGGAUUUAUUGGGUUUAAAGGGAGCGUAGAUGGGUUGUUAAGUCAGUUGUUAAAGUUUGCGGCUCAACCGUAAAAUUGCAAUUGAUACUGGCAGUCUUGAGUACAGUUGAGGUAGGCGGAAUUCGUGGUGUAGCGGUGAAAUGCUUAGAUAUCACGAAGAACCCCGAUUGCGAAGGCAGCUUACUAAACUGUGACUGACAUUGAUGCUCGAAAGUGUGGGUAUCAAACAGGAUUAGAUACCCCUGUAGUC